GAUGAACGCUAGCGGGAGGCUUAACACAUGCAAGUCGAGGGGCAGCAUAGGGUAGCAAUACUCUGAUGGCGACCGGCAAACGGGUGAGUAACGCGUAUGCAACCUACCCUGUACAGAGGGAUAACCCGGAGAAAUUCGGACUAAUAUCCCGUAAUAAUAUCCGGAGGCAUCUUUGGAUAUUUAAAGUUCCGACGGUACGGGAUGGGCAUGCGUAACAUUAACUGGUUGGUAAGGUAACGGCUUACCAAGGCUAUGAUGUUUAGGGGUCCUGAGAGGGUGGUCCCCCACACUGGUACUGAGACACGGACCAGACUCCUACGGGAGGCAGCAGUGAGGAAUAUUGGUCAAUGGGCGCAAGCCUGAACCAGCCAUCCCGCGUGCAGGAAGACGGCCCUAUGGGUUGUAAACUGCUUUUCCAGGGAGAGAAACUUACGCACGUGUUGCGUGACUGACGGUACCCUGGGAAUAAGCAUCGGCUAACUCCGUGC
RNAcentral lists this ribosomal RNA (488 nucleotides) under uncultured bacterium. RNAcentral's name for it is "bacterial SSU rRNA". It matches the Rfam family "Bacterial small subunit ribosomal RNA", at positions 28 to 508 of the family's 1533-position model. The record is from RNAcentral.